RNAcentral lists this small RNA (147 nucleotides) under Papio anubis (olive baboon). RNAcentral describes it as "Metazoan signal recognition particle RNA (ENSPANG00000044949.1)". The record is from Rfam by way of RNAcentral. Lineage: Eukaryota; Metazoa; Chordata; Mammalia; Primates; Cercopithecidae.
GCUGGGCGUGGUGGCGCGUGCCUGUAAUCCCAGCUACUCAGGAGGCUGAGGCAGGAGAAUCGCUUGAACCAGGGAGUCGGAGGUUACAGUGAGCCGCGAUCGCGCCACUGCACUCCAGCCUGGCAACAGAGCGAGACUCUGUCUCAA